GAUCAUGGCUCAGGACGAACGCUGGCGGCGUGCCUAACACAUGCAAGUCGAACGGAGAUGUUUAUUUCGGUAGAUAUCUUAGUGGCGCACGGGUGAGUAACGCGUGAAUAACCUGACCCGAAGAGGGGGAUAACACCUGGAAACAAGUGCUAAUACCGCAUAAGACCACAGACCGGCAUCGGUCAGAGGUCAAAGGAGAAAUCCGCUUUGGGAGGGGUUCGCGUCCCAUUAGGUAGUUGGUGAGGUAACGGCCCACCAAGCCGACGAUGGGUAGCCGAGCUGAGAGGCUGAUCGGCCACACUGGAACUGAGACACGGUCCAGACUCCUACGGGAGGCAGCAGUGGGGAAUAUUGGGCAAUGGGCGCAAGCCUGACCCAGCAACGCCGCGUGAGGGAAGAAGGUUUUCGGAUUGUAAACCUCUGUCGCAGGGGACGAAGGAAGUGACGGUACCCUGUAAGAAAGCCCCGGCUAACUACGUG
This 480-nucleotide ribosomal RNA is filed under the name uncultured bacterium. Its description in RNAcentral is "bacterial SSU rRNA". It matches the Rfam family "Bacterial small subunit ribosomal RNA", at positions 15 to 507 of the family's 1533-position model. The record is from RNAcentral.